RNAcentral lists this ribosomal RNA (465 nucleotides) under uncultured bacterium. RNAcentral describes it as "partial 16S ribosomal RNA". It matches the Rfam family "Bacterial small subunit ribosomal RNA", at positions 338 to 795 of the family's 1533-position model. The record is from RNAcentral.
CCUACGGGAGGCAGCAGUGGGGAAUAUUGCGCAAUGGGCGAAAGCCUGACGCAGCGACGCCGCGUGAGGGAUGAAGGUCUUCGGAUCGUAAACCUCUGUCAGCAGGGAAGAACGGUCACUGUGCUAAUCAGCAGUGUAUUGACGGUACCUGCAAAGGAAGCACCGGCUAACUCCGGGCCAGCAGCCGCGGUAAUACGGAGGGUGCGAGCGUUAAUCGGAAUUACUGGGCGUAAAGCGCUCGUAGGCGGUAUGUCAAGUCAAGGGUGAAAUUCCCGCGCUCAACGUGGGAACUGCAUUUGAUACUGGGAAACUGGAGUGUGUGAGAGGAUGGUGGAAUUCGAGGUGUAGGAGUGAAAUCCGUAGAUAUCACGAGGAACAUCAGUGGCGAAGGCGACUAUCUGGCACAUAACUGACGCUGAGGAGCGAAAGCGUGGGUAGCAAACAGGAUUAGAUACCCUUGUAGUC